UGCGCAGGCGGGCUUGUAAGUCAGUGGUGAAAUACUGCCGCUUAACGGUGGAACUGCCAUUGAUACUGCAAGUCUUGAAUAUGGUUGAGGUAGGCGGAAUGUGUCGUGUAGCGGUGAAAUGCAUAGAUAUGACACAGAACGCCAAUUGCGAAGGCAGCUUACUAAGCCAUUAUUGACGCUGAGGCACGAAAGCGUGGGGAGCGAACAGGAUUAGAUACCCUGGUAGUCC
Molecule: ribosomal RNA, 229 nt
Filed under: uncultured bacterium
Lineage: Bacteria
Description: partial 16S ribosomal RNA
Rfam family: Bacterial small subunit ribosomal RNA
Source: RNAcentral